ACUCAAAGGAAUUGACGGGGACCCGCACAAGUGGUGGAGCAUGUUGCUUAAUUCGACAAUACACGAAGAACCUUACCUGGGCUUGACAUCCUUUGCAAAGUUAUAGAAAUAUAAUGGAGGCUAACAGAGAGACAGGUGGUGCAUGGUUGUCGUCAGCUCGUGUCGUGAGAUGUUGGGUUAAGUCCCGCAACGAGCGCAACCCCUAUUAUUAGUUACUUUAUCUAAUAAAACUGCUAGCGCAAGCUAGAGGAAGGUGGGGACGACGUCAAAUCAUCAUGCCCCUUAUGUCCAGGGCUGCAAACGUGCUACAAUGAUUGGUACAAAGUGUUACAAAAUCGCAAGAUCAAGUCAAUCACAAAAAGCCAAUCUCAGUUCGGAUUGAAGGCUGCAAUUCGUCUUCAUGAAGUUGGAAUCACUAGUAAUCGCGUAUCAGAUAUGUCGCGGUGAAUACGUUCCCGGGUCUUGUACACACCGCCCGU
RNAcentral lists this ribosomal RNA (479 nucleotides) under uncultured bacterium. RNAcentral describes it as "bacterial SSU rRNA". It matches the Rfam family "Bacterial small subunit ribosomal RNA", at positions 899 to 1397 of the family's 1533-position model. The record is from RNAcentral.